GACAUUGACAUUGAUAAGUAUUGUGAGGUUGUGAAAAAAGGCUUGAAAAUGGCAAAAUUUCUGCUCUUUCAUCCGAUGAAUAUUGCGAUUUUAAUUGUUUCUUAUAAAUCAAAUAAAUGCAACACCCGUUAAUGACACAAACAAAUCGGUUAAGUUAAAUGUUAGAAAUGUUUGUGUUAUUGGAGCCGGAGUAUCGGGCAUUGCAAGUGCGAAACAUUUACUUGAUCAUGGACACAAUGUUACCGUUUUCGAACAGAGUGAAGAUAUUGGUGGUAUAUGAUUUUACACAAAUCAAACCGACAAAAAUAAAUAUGGGUUGAAAGUUCAUUCACCGGCAUAUAAGGGUUUAAGCGCAAAUGUUCCAUCAUCGUAUAUGGAAUCAAUGGAGACUGGAUAGAUGAAGGAUCUGCAGCUAUAGAAGAGCUUGAGUGUCGGGCAAAAUUCGACAAUCAAUUCCAAAUAACUCUAUGCAGAAUGAGUGCAGCUGCUAGUAGACGAUUUGGCAUUGAGCCAGCAGUUUUUCAUCUUAUUUUAUUAGUGAUCGUAAUAUGGAUUUUAAAAUGUUUAUGUUGUGGUUGUGGCUGUUCAGGAAAAAAAACUUACAUACGUUUCCACGACGAAAUAUAAAAUAAGCCAUUUUUUGCGAAAACAAGUGGUAGUCAAGAUUUAUGGAGAUCGCCACAACAAAAUAUUUUUAUAAUAAACGCAAACAUGCAUUUCUAUCAAUCAGUUCCAAAAGAACGUCUACUUUUCACGUAUAUUUGUAUAAGACAUUCGAAAUAGGAUA
Contarinia nasturtii (swede midge) is the source of this 787-nucleotide long non-coding RNA. RefSeq lists it as uncharacterized. Lineage: Eukaryota; Metazoa; Arthropoda; Insecta; Diptera; Cecidomyiidae. The record is from RefSeq and is a predicted model, not a curated record. The transcript has 4 exons.